Molecule: long non-coding RNA, 911 nt
Organism: Hemicordylus capensis (graceful crag lizard)
Lineage: Eukaryota; Metazoa; Chordata; Lepidosauria; Squamata; Cordylidae
Exons: 4
Source: RefSeq, a predicted model, not a curated record
GCCAGCCAGGAAGGAGGAGGCAGCCGGAGUGUUCUCUGCAGCAGAAGACCCCUUGCUGCCCUGCUUAACCCAGACCAGCAUUUGCCAGGAGAGAAGAAACGAUGCUCUAGUUCCACACAAACUAACCCAGCUCAAGAGAAAAGGAGAAGAAUUCUGUUUCGCAGACAUCCCUUUGAGAAGCAAAUUGCCACAGAGGGACAGGAUUUUAGACAGAGUCACUGAAUCUGCCCGUAGAACUGGCUGGAUGCAAAAGAGAAGCAUGAGGCAUCUUGAAAAUACUGAGACAGCAGAGCUCCCCUCAGUGAAAAUGACACUGAAUGCUGAAGUGGUUAUCUGAAGCAUAAUAAUCUCCUUUUCUGCAGCUUCUCCUGGAGCGAAGCAGCUGCACCUCUCCUAUUUAGAGCUGAGGCAAAAGGAUCUCAUCAGCCCUGAGAGAAAUCACUGAUGAUGCAGAAGUCCCUGUCAUUGCAUGGCUGAGGGGACAAUUGCAGAAAUCAAAUCUUCUGUCCACUUGUAUGUGUAUGUUUGGGAUCAGCUGCAAGUUGAACGGGUCUUUUGUAUCGAUCGCAGUGAGGGAAAUAUUGACUUCACUUAUCUUACAAGACUUAUCUGAGAAAGGAAAAUAAAACGGGAUCACAAAUGUAAAGUGGUUUUGUUUCUACAUACCAUAAGGGAUAAGGGAUCGCCUCCAGCUGGCUCACAAGAAACCAAGUUCGAAAACCACUGGUUUAAAUCAUAAGCUUAUGAAGCAAGCGUGUUCUAUCCUAAACCCUCGAAACUACUACUGAGAGACAACAAGCAAUAAGAUGCAGAUAUUAAACUUUGCCACUAAUAUGACUUUGGUAUCACUAAUAUGCCCUUGACCAAAUAAAUCAAUGUUAUGGCAAGGAUAUUGGCUGUUUCUUCCUGUG